CCUACGGGAGGCAGCAGUGAGGAAUAUUGGUCAAUGGGAGAGAUCCUGAACCAGCCAAGCCGCGUGAGGGAAGACGGCCCUAUGGGUUGUAAACCUCUUUUGUCGGAGAACAAAACCCGGGACGUGUCCCGGACUGCGUGUAUCCGAAGAAAAAGCAUCGGCUAACUCCGUGCCAGCAGCCGCGGUAAUACUGAGGAUGCGAGCGUUAUCCGGAUUUCGUGGGUUUAAAGGGUGCGUAGGCGGUCCGUUAAGUCAGCGGUAAAAUUGCGGGGCUCAACCCCGUCGAGCCGUUGAAACUGGCAGACUUGAGUUGGCGAUACGUACGCGGAAUGCGCGGUGUAGCGGUGAAAUGCAUAGAUAUCGCGCAGAACUCCGAUUGCGAAGGCAGCAUACCGGCGCCCAACUGACGCUGAAGCACGAAAGCGUGGGUAUCGAACAGGAUUAGAUACCCCUGUAGUC
Molecule: ribosomal RNA, 459 nt
Filed under: uncultured bacterium
Lineage: Bacteria
Description: partial 16S ribosomal RNA
Rfam family: Bacterial small subunit ribosomal RNA
Source: RNAcentral